GUAGGUGAACCUGCGGAAGGAUCAUUACCGAGACGAAGGGCUCCCGGCCCCGAACCUCCCACCCGUGUUUACCGACCUUUUGUUGCUUUGGUGGGCUUGCAUCCGGGUUAGAAGCCCGGCUGCCGCCGCGUGCCCGCCGAAAGCCCCCCCCAAACUCAUUUACCGGUUGAAGUCUGAGUGACCAAACAAUAAUCAAAACUUUCAACAACGGAUCUCUUGGUUCUG
RNAcentral lists this unclassified non-coding RNA (225 nucleotides) under rhizosphere metagenome. Its description in RNAcentral is "partial ribosomal RNA internal transcribed spacer region". The record is from RNAcentral.